UGUUUUUCAAAUAUUGCAACAUUAUCUAUCUUCAAAGACAGUAAGAACUACCAGCAAAGUGUCUUCUUCUACUUUCAAAUACCACAUCUCAAUUUUUCUUUUCUUUUCUUGUAUAGAUUUUAUUUAUAAUUAACAAUAACUUUAUACAUUUAAGUAAAAUAUAAGUUAAUUGCUUUAAUUUGAUGUCAUGUUCGAGUCCAUUCUCUUUGAUUUAAGAAGAU
This 221-nucleotide long non-coding RNA is filed under the name Glycine max (soybean). RNAcentral describes it as "long non-coding RNA (GMAX_LNC003378)". The record is from RNAcentral. Lineage: Eukaryota; Viridiplantae; Streptophyta; Magnoliopsida; Fabales; Fabaceae.